Molecule: ribosomal RNA, 901 nt
Filed under: Escherichia coli
Lineage: Bacteria; Pseudomonadati; Pseudomonadota; Gammaproteobacteria; Enterobacterales; Enterobacteriaceae
Description: partial 23S ribosomal RNA
Rfam family: Bacterial large subunit ribosomal RNA
Source: RNAcentral
GGUUAAGCGACUAAGCGUACACGGUGGAUGCCCUGGCAGUCAGAGGCGAUGAAGGACGUGCUAAUCUGCGAUAAGCGUCGGUGAGGUGAUAUGAACCGUUAUAACCGGCGAUUUCCGAAUGGGGAAACCCAGUGUGUUUCGACACACUAUCAUUAACUGAAUCCAUAGGUUAAUGAGGCGAACCGGGGGAACUGAAACAUCUAAGUACCCCGAGGAAAAGAAAUCAACCGAGAUUCCCCCAGUAGCGGCGAGCGAACGGGGAGGAGCCCAGAGCCUGAAUCAGUGUGUGUGUUAGUGGAAGCGUCUGGAAAGGCGUGCGAUACAGGGUGACAGCCCCGUACACAAAAAUGCACAUAUUGUGAGCUCGAUGAGUAGGGCGGGACACGUGGUAUCCUGUCUGAAUAUGGGGGGACCAUCCUCCAAGGCUAAAUACUCCUGACUGACCGAUAGUGAACCAGUACCGUGAGGGAAAGGCGAAAAGAACCCCGGCGAGGGGAGUGAAAAAGAACCUGAAACCGUGUACGUACAAGCAGUGGGAGCCUCUUAAUGGGGUGACUGCGUACCUUUUGUAUAAUGGGUCAGCGACUUAUAUUCUGUAGCAAGGUUAACCGAAUAGGGGAGCCGAAGGGAAACCGAGUCUUAACUGGGCGUUAAGUUGCAGGGUAUAGACCCGAAACCCGGUGAUCUAGCCAUGGGCAGGUUGAAGGUUGGGUAACACUAACUGGAGGACCGAACCGACUAAUGUUGAAAAAUUAGCGGAUGACUUGUGGCUGGGGGUGAAAGGCCAAUCAAACCGGGAGAUAGCUGGUUCUCCCCGAAAGCUAUUUAGGUAGCGCCUCGUGAAUUCAUCUCCGGGGGUAGAGCACUGUUUCGGCAAGGGGGUCAUCCCGACUUACCAACC